Molecule: transfer RNA, 84 nt
Filed under: Rhodovulum sp.
Lineage: Bacteria; Pseudomonadati; Pseudomonadota; Alphaproteobacteria; Rhodobacterales; Paracoccaceae
Also listed under: 3 other names
Description: tRNA-Leu
Rfam family: tRNA
About the family: Transfer RNA (tRNA) molecules are approximately 80 nucleotides in length. Their secondary structure includes four short double-helical elements and three loops (D, anti-codon, and T loops).
Source: RNAcentral
GCCCGAGUGGCGGAAUGGUAGACGCAGGGGAUUCAAAAUCCUCCGCCGCAAGGCGUGCGAGUUCGACUCUCGCCUCGGGCACCA